UACGGAGGGUGCAAGCGUUAUCCGGAUUCACUGGGUUUAAAGGGAGCGCAGGCGGACUUGUAAGUCAGUGGUGAAAUACCUGAGCUUAACUCGGGAACUUCCAUUGAUACUAUAGGUCUUGAAUGUUGUUGAGGUUUGCGGAAUGGGUCAUGUAGCGGUGAAAUGCAUAGAUAUGACCCGGAACACCUAUUGCGAAGGCAGCAGGCUAAACAAAUAUUGACGCUGAGGCUCGAAAGCGUGGGGAUCAAACAGG
This 253-nucleotide ribosomal RNA is filed under the name uncultured bacterium. RNAcentral describes it as "partial 16S ribosomal RNA". It matches the Rfam family "Bacterial small subunit ribosomal RNA", at positions 524 to 776 of the family's 1533-position model. The record is from RNAcentral.